GCUUAAAGAGUUUCCGACUUAAGUAUGAUGUUGUGUUUGCAUAUUGUUUGGAUACAUUUUACUGACCAAACAUAGUAGUUUGACAACAAUGUUGAAUUACUCAAUUUUACUUCCUGUAUUAAUGAUUUACGCCACUCUAUGAGUGGUGUUUUUUUUG
RNAcentral lists this non-coding RNA (157 nucleotides) under Pasteurella felis. RNAcentral's name for it is "Haemophilus felis GcvB RNA". It matches the Rfam family "GcvB RNA". From Rfam's summary of the family: The gcvB gene encodes a small untranslated RNA involved in expression of the dipeptide and oligopeptide transport systems in Escherichia coli. Included several unknown homologues in alignment (Bateman A pers obs). It base-pairs with SorC. Lineage: Bacteria; Pseudomonadati; Pseudomonadota; Gammaproteobacteria; Pasteurellales; Pasteurellaceae. The record is from Rfam by way of RNAcentral.